UUCUAAGAAGACCUAUGGGGUCCCCACCAGCGACGAGGCUUUUGCCGAGGAGCUUAAGGGUGGGGCAAAGACCCCUUUCGGUUCUCUUGGAACAAGACGGAAGAGAGUCACUCUUACCGUCGCGCAUACCAAAAGCGGGUCUGCCGCCUUCGUUUCUCUUUCUUCAGCGAAUGACUUUGGAUCAGCGCUCGCGCGCCGUACCGCAGCCCCCUCUUGAUUAAAAUGGGCGGGCUGCUGGCGCUCCGCGAGGGCGCGGCACGAGCCGCGACGGCCACCUGCUAGUCAGAUCUGGCGGCCUUGCGAGGCUUCGCCUCGAUGUCAACGGCUCGUUACUGGCAGAGCGCGGUCUUUAGGGCUUGUAGCUCAGUUGGUUAGAGCGCGCGCUUGAUAAGCGUGAGGUCGGAGGUUCAAGUCCUCCCAGGCCCACCACUUCCUCGAUCGUCAUGUUCGGGAAAACACUAUCAGGGGCCGUAGCUCAGCUGGGAGAGCGCCUGCUUUGCAAGCAGGAUGUCGUCGGUUCGAUCCCGUCCGGCUCCACCAAUGCGCGAUCUCGAAGAGAUCGUCGCUCCACCACCUCUUGCGAGGUUGGCUAAGCGCGAUCCGAAAGGAUCGCGUGUGGGUGUCGAGCAGAGACGGCGAGAAAAAAGUCAUUCGUAAAAAGAGUUUGCGUCGAGCCUAGUGCUCUGCGCCUGUUCUGUUUGACAUCGUAAAGAGAAGAUUUGUUCGAACUUCAUGGGUUCCGAAAGGGCCAUGAUUUGUCGCAAGGGACGCUCAAUCCCUUGCCUAUGAUGGGUUUGCCUAACCGCGCCCUCGAACGGAUCUCGAGAAGCUGGUCUUUUUGUGCCAAUUCCAUUGAGGCAGGUCCCGCACAGGAUCUGGUUCGAGGCGACAAUCCCUUCGGGAUUGCGCUUAGCUAACCUCGCAAGGGGUUUGGCUUGAACGACGAUCCCUUCGGGAUCGCGUGAUGGGUAUUGGCAAUGAGAACGAUCAAGUGUCUUAAGGGCAAUUGGUGGAUGCCU
Molecule: transfer RNA, 1019 nt
Filed under: Mesorhizobium sp. ORS 3359
Lineage: Bacteria; Pseudomonadati; Pseudomonadota; Alphaproteobacteria; Hyphomicrobiales; Phyllobacteriaceae
Description: partial contains 16S-23S ribosomal RNA intergenic spacer, tRNA-Ile, and tRNA-Ala
Rfam family: tRNA (bases 353-426)
Source: RNAcentral